RNAcentral lists this ribosomal RNA (512 nucleotides) under uncultured bacterium. Its description in RNAcentral is "bacterial SSU rRNA". It matches the Rfam family "Bacterial small subunit ribosomal RNA", at positions 15 to 518 of the family's 1533-position model. The record is from RNAcentral.
GAUCAUGGCUCAGGAUGAACGCUAGCGACAGGCUUAACACAUGCAAGUCGAGGGGCAGCAUAAAAGUAGCAAUACUUGGUGGCGACCGGCGCACGGGUGAGUAACGCGUAUGCAACCUACCUAUCAGAGGGAAUAACCCGGCGAAAGUCGGACUAAUACCGCAUAAAACAGGGACACCGCAUGGUGAUAUUUGUUAAAGAAAUUCGCUGAUAGAUGGGCAUGCGUUCCAUUAGGUAGUUGGUGAGGUAACGGCUCACCAAGCCGACGAUGGAUAGGGGAACUGAGAGGUUGGUCCCCCACACUGGUACUGAGACACGGACCAGACUCCUACGGGAGGCAGCAGUGAGGAAUAUUGGUCAAUGGGCGAGAGCCUGAACCAGCCAAGUCGCGUGAAGGGAAAAGAAGGAUCUAUGGUUCGUAAACUUCUUUUGCAGGGGAAUAAAGUGCAGGACGUGUCCUGUUUUGUAUGUACCCUGAGAAUAAGGAUCGGCUAACUCCGUGCCAGCAGCAGC